This 254-nucleotide ribosomal RNA is filed under the name uncultured bacterium. RNAcentral describes it as "partial 16S ribosomal RNA". It matches the Rfam family "Bacterial small subunit ribosomal RNA", at positions 524 to 776 of the family's 1533-position model. The record is from RNAcentral.
UACGGGGGGAGCAAGCGUUGUUCGGAUUUACUGGGCGUAAAGGGCGCGUAGGCGGCCAGCACAAGUCAGUUGUGAAAUCUCCGAGCCUAACUCGGAAAGGUCAACUGAUACUGUGCGGCUAGAGUGCGGAAGGGGCAACUGGAAUUCUUGGUGUAGCGGUGAAAUGCGUAGAUAUCAAGAGGAACACCUGCGGCGAAGGCGGGUUGCUGGGCCGACACUGACGCUGAGGCGCGAAAGCCAGGGGAGCGAACGGG